AAGAAUCUCUCACACGGUAAAGUACAAACCGACGACGGCGACUUUCCCUAUGAUCUGAGUUUCUGAACCAAUGGUCUUCCCUCAAUUUCACGGGAAUCUCUGAUUGUUUUCCGGGAAAAUUAAAUUAUAUCUUCUCUCUCCCCUACAUUGUUUACCGGAGACAGAGCUACGUGGCACCUCGCCGGAAUCUCAAACUUCCAUUGUCGGAGAAGAAGAAGAAGAAGCAAGUUUGGAGAUUGAUCCUUCGUUUUGCAAAACAGAUCGAAACUCUUAACGUUUCUACUGUUACUCGUUCUUCAACUGGACUCUGUUUCGGGCGUAAUGGAUCCGACUUCUCGACCCGCUGUUGUCAUCGACAAUGGAACCGGGUAUACAAAGAUGGGCUUUGCGGGUAACGUAGAACCAUGUUUCAUUCUCCCGACAGUAGUUGCAUCUAACGAGUCUUUCUUAAGCCAGCCCAAGAGUUCUUUAAAGGGCUCUUGGGCAGCUCAGCACAAUGCUGGAGUCGCGGCGGAUAUGGACUUCUUUAUAGGAGACGAGGCUCUCACGAAGUCACGGUCUAGUAGUACUUACAAUCUUCGUUAUCCGAUCGAGCAUGGUCAAGUUGAGGAUUGGGAUGCUAUGGAAAGGUAUUGGCAGCAGUGUGUGUUUAACUAUCUGAGGUGUGAUCCAGAGGAUCAUUACUUUCUUCUCACCGAGAGCCCUCUCACUCCUCCUGAGAGCCGAGAGUACACUGGGGAGAUUCUGUUCGAGACUUUUAAUGUUCCUGGGCUUUACAUUGCUGUUAACUCGGUGCUUGCACUUGCAGCUGGGUACACUACAUCAAAGUGUGAGAUGACAGGGGUUGUAGUUGAUGUUGGAGAUGGGGCGACUCGUGUUGUGCCUGUUGCGGAAGGUUAUGUUAUUGGGAGCUGUAUCAAAACAAUUCCGAUUGCUGGCAAAGAUGUCUCCCUCUUUAUCCAGCAACUCAUGCGUGAAAGAGGUGAGAAUAUACCACCGGAAGAUUCAUUCGAUGUUGCACGUAAAGUGAAGGAAAUGUACUGCUACACUUGUUCAGACAUUGUUAAGGAGUUUAACAAACACGACAAAGAACCAGGAAAGUAUAUUAAACAAUGGAAAGGUGUUAAGCCAAAGACUGGUGCACCAUACACUUGUGACGUUGGAUACGAACGAUUCCUUGGACCUGAGGUCUUCUUUAAUCCAGAGAUAUACAGCAAUGACUUUACAACUUCUUUACCGACUGUUAUAGACAAAUGUAUCCAGUCUGCACCAAUUGACACACGGAGAGCUUUAUAUAAGGUGAAAGGCGAGAAUCGAACUCACGUCUCCACGGCCUCAACGUGGGAACAUAGUAUUGUCCGGAGGCUCAACUAUGUUCAAAGAUUUCGGAAGAAGGUUACAAAGGGAUCUCAAAAAGAUUGUUGAUGCUCGUGUUCUUGCUAACAACGCACGUACCGGUGGUGAAAUCACGUCUCAACCAGUGGAGGUUAAUGUGGUGAGCCACCCUGUCCAAAAGUUUGCUGUUUGGUUUGGAGGCUCUGUGCUUUCAUCAACUCCUGAGUUUUUUGCGAGUUGCAGAACGAAAGAGGAGUAUGAGGAAUGUGGAGCAAGCAUAUGUCGUACUAAUCCGGUGUUCAAAGGGAUGUAUUAAAAGUUUAAAACAAAUAGAAGCUGGUUCUUUAAAUAAUUCACCAGCAUAUGUGAAUGUUUGUCUGAAUGAAACACUCCAUUUUAGAUACUUGUAACUAAGCUAUUUGGCUCUUUAGGUUUCAUUGAGUUUCUCAAUCAGUGUAAGCUAGGCUUUAUGUAGUAGAAGAAUUCAUAUUGUUCUCAGACAAAGCAAAAAAAAAAAACAAAACAAAAAUUGUCUGUAGAAAAGAAACAAAAAAGGCAACAACUUGAUAAGCUUCAUGGGACUUGGUGACAGAAACGAUAAUUGUUUCCUACAAACCAGACUUGGCUAAAUAAGAGUACUAAAUGGGCUUAAAACACAACGCAAUACAGCCCAUUAACUAAUGAUUCGAAGCCCGGGCCCAAUAGCUUAUCACUAACACGGAGGAGAAAUCUAUUAUCGCAUCGGAUAAGAAAGAAGAACAUCACGUGUUCUCUCUCAACGAAGACGACUCUCUCCCUCCGAUCUCAAAACCAAUACUUUCAUUGAAUUUCCCCGGAGAAGCUCAGAUCCUCGCCGGCGAAACAACCCUCAGAUCCUUAUCGAAAUCUCAACCUCCGUAGACGGAAGAGACCCAGCUGCAAAGAGUCAAAGUAAGCAAGCUUAGGUUGUUGUUGUUUUUUUUUUCUUCGAUCCUCGAAUCUCGAGGCUUUCUAGGGUUUCAUCAAUGUUAAAAAUUGUAACUUUCAUCCCAGAUCUGUUGAUUUCUUCUUCGAUUUUGUAAGAACGGUAUGUGUAGUAGGCAGGCUCCUUUCCCUUGUAAAUCAAACCAUGUGUGUAAUUUGAUCUAUAAUUGUAUAUACUAAUCUUGUAAGAUCUAAUCUUUUAAUGAAAGAGAAGAUAUUUUGAUGAGCUU
Molecule: RNA transcript, 2528 nt
Organism: Brassica rapa (field mustard)
Lineage: Eukaryota; Viridiplantae; Streptophyta; Magnoliopsida; Brassicales; Brassicaceae
Gene name: actin-related protein 3
Source: RefSeq, a predicted model, not a curated record